Long non-coding RNA from Trichomycterus rosablanca, 413 nucleotides. RefSeq lists it as uncharacterized. The transcript is spliced from 4 exons. The record is from RefSeq and is a predicted model, not a curated record. NCBI's taxonomy places the organism in Eukaryota, Metazoa, Chordata, Actinopteri, Siluriformes, Trichomycteridae.
AUCUACAACAUGAAGAAUUCCAGAAGAAAAUAAUACAAAAGGAGGAGGAGGAGGAUGAAGAUGAUUUCUUCUGUGAAGUCACUUUAAUCCCUCCAGAACUUGUUGCUUCUGUGGAACUGCUCUUCUCAGAGGACCAACAGUGUGGAGGUUUCCAGAUGAAGCCUGUGAAGAAGGAAGAACCUGAAGAUACAGAUUAACUCAACAUUUCAGGUGAAGGAACCUCGAUCCCUGAGGAACACCUCACCCCAGUGGACCAACAAGUGAAGAAGGAAGAAGCUGAAGAUAAAGAUGAUCUCAAACUGAACAAGGAUUUCUCCUGCUCCUCGUGUCCACGUUCCUCUACAACCCAAAAUCAGCUCCACAAUCACAUCAAGAGCUGCAACCAUGUUAAAUAUGAGACUCUGGUGAAGAUU